This 247-nucleotide small RNA is filed under the name Arabidopsis thaliana (thale cress). RNAcentral's name for it is "ATSL277020". Lineage: Eukaryota; Viridiplantae; Streptophyta; Magnoliopsida; Brassicales; Brassicaceae. The record is from RNAcentral.
AGAAAACAUAUUAAAUAUUGAUUAUAAAUGUAUUAUUUUUAGUGUUUUACAGUUUUUUAUAACUCUAAACCAAUGAUAAUUAACUAUUUUUCUUGAAAAUUAUAAUUCACCAAUACUAACUAAUAAAUAUUACAUGGAAAACAUAAAAAAAUCAAUCUUUUAGAAACAAUUUUUUUUUCUAAACAAUCAAACAAAAAGGAACAGAUGGAGUAUAAAACUAGUAACCCGCGGUAAAGCGUGAGACUAU